This is a long non-coding RNA of Dioscorea cayenensis subsp. rotundata (Guinea yam), 681 nucleotides long. RefSeq lists it as uncharacterized. The record is from RefSeq and is a predicted model, not a curated record. The transcript is spliced from 3 exons. Lineage: Eukaryota; Viridiplantae; Streptophyta; Magnoliopsida; Dioscoreales; Dioscoreaceae.
GUUUGGGCACCACUACUUGAGAGAAAUAAAGAAGCUCGAAGAUGGCACCAAAAACCCUUUCCAUAUUUCACCGCACUGCAGGAGAUUUAUGAGGAUAUGCAGAAGGAAGACGCUCUCGUGAUAUAGAUUAUUAUGCAAAUGUAUCAAUGGACACUCCAUCUCCAAGCAUUCCGGCUCCAAAUGAUCACAUCCAAUCAUUGUCUACACCCGAAAUAGAGACAGAGGAUCCUGAUUUUACACAAGUGGAGCCUCCAUGCAGUCAACCAAAUAUUUCACAACCCCAAAACUCAUGUAGUGCAAGUCGACAAAGGGUAGGAGAUGAAGUACAAAGAAGGAAAAAGGAACGAAAGCGAAAAAAUGUUCAAGAGUCAUUCUUAGAACAAUAUAUAGAUAUGCGUCGAGUUGAGACGGACAGAUAUAUUGAUGCUAUGAAAAUGAACCGGGUAGAGGAGAAGUACACCAUAGGAGAAUGCAUGGCGGCAUUUAAUGUAUUGUGUGAUCAAUUUCCAGAUGAAGAUUUUGUUAAAAUUACAACAUUGUUUAAAGAUAAGGACAAUCGUGAAAUCUUCUUGAGUCUCAUCAAUGAAGAAAGGAAACUGUUGUGGCUUAGGCUAAUGAUUAAUUAAAAACAAUGUGAUGUUCUAUGUUUUUUUAUAUUUAGUUACAUGUAAACCGUUCUGG